CAAUGUAGAGUCUACAGCCUGACACACACAAUAUUGUCUGAUCUUGGAAGCUAAGCAGGCUAGGGCCUGGUUAGUUCUUGGAUGGGAGAAGGAAUGUAGGACCCUCCCAUAGC
This is a ribosomal RNA of Cricetulus griseus (Chinese hamster), 113 nucleotides long. The record is from Ensembl. Lineage: Eukaryota; Metazoa; Chordata; Mammalia; Rodentia; Cricetidae.